UUGGUUAAGUUAGAAAGGGCGCACGGUGGAUGCCUUGGCACUAGGAGCCGAAGAAGGACGGGACUAACACCGAUAUGCUUUGGGGAGCUGUACGUAAGCGUUGAUCCAGAGAUUUCCGAAUGGGGGAACCCACUAUCUUUAGUCGGAUAGUAUCCUUACGUGAAUACAUAGCGUGAGGAAGGCAGACCCAGGGAACUGAAACAUCUAAGUACCUGGAGGAAGAGAAAGAAAAAUCGAUUUCCUGAGUAGCGGCGAGCGAAACGGAAAGAGCCCAAACCAAGAAGCUUGCUUCUUGGGGUUGUAGGACACUCUAUACGGAGUUACAAAAGAAAGUUAUAAAUGAAGCGGUCUGGAAAGGCCCGCCAAAGACGGUAACAGCCCGGUAGUUGAAAUGGCUUUCCCUCCAGAGUGGAUCCUGAGUACGGCGGAACACGUGAAAUUCCGUCGGAAUCCGGGAGGACCAUCUCCCAAGGCUAAAUACUCCCUAGUGACCGAUAGUGAACCAGUACCGUGAGGGAAAGGUGAAAAGCACCCCGGAAGGGGAGUGAAACAGUUCCUGAAACCGUGUGCCUACAAGUAGUUAGAGCCCGUUAAUGGGUGAUAGCGUGCCUUUUGUAGAAUGAACCGGCGAGUUACGAUUUGUUGCAAGGUUAAGCGGAAAAAGCGGAGCCGUAGCGAAAGCGAGUCUGAAUAGGGCGCAUAAGUAACAGGUCGUAGACCCGAAACCAGGUGAUCUACCCAUGUCCAGGAUGAAGGUAAGGUAAUACUUACUGGAGGUCCGAACCCACGCACGUUGAAAAGUGCGGGGAUGAGGUGUGGGUAGCGGAGAAAUUCCAAUCGAACUUGGAGAUAGCUGGUUCUCUCCGAAAUAGCUUUAGGGCUAGCCUCGAGGUAAAGAGUCAUGGAGGUAGAGCACUGUUUGGACUAGGGGCCCUUCUCGGGUUACCGAAUUCAGAUAAACUCCGAAUGCCAUGUACUUAUACUCGGGAGUCAGACUGCGAGUGAUAAGAUCCGUAGUCGAAAGGGAAACAGCCCAGACCACCAGUUAAGGUCCCCAAAUAUAUGUUAAGUGGAAAAGGAUGUGGGGUUGCUUAGACAACCAGGAUGUUGGCUUAGAAGCAGCCACCAUUGAAAGAGUGCGUAAUAGCUCACUGGUCGAGUGACCCCGCGCCGAAAAUGUACCGGGGCUAAACAUAUUACCGAAACUGUGGAUGAACCUCUUUAGAGGUUCGUGGUAGGAGAGCGUUCUAAGGGCGGUGAAGUCAGACCGGAAGGACUGGUGGAGCGCUUAGAAGUGAGAAUGCCGGUAUGAGUAGCGAAAGAAGGGUGAGAAUCCCUUCCACCGAAUAUCUAAGGUUUCCUGAGGAAGGCUCGUCCGCUCAGGGUUAGUCGGGACCUAAGCCGAGGCCGAUAGGCGUAGGCGAUGGACAACAGGUAGAGAUUCCUGUACCAGUGCUAAUUGUUUAACCGAUGGGGUGACA
Molecule: ribosomal RNA, 1481 nt
Filed under: Listeria monocytogenes
Lineage: Bacteria; Bacillati; Bacillota; Bacilli; Caryophanales; Listeriaceae
Description: partial 23S ribosomal RNA
Rfam family: Bacterial large subunit ribosomal RNA
Source: RNAcentral